UGAACAGUUGUGCUCAGCUCAUCUCCACAGCAUCCAAGCCUCAGGUCUAUAUCAGUUGGACAAGAAGCUUCUUCAAGCAGCUGCAUUCAUUUCAGAAGUCUAGGACCCAUUCCAAAUGGCUCUAAGGGCACCACCCUUCUAGAGACCAAAGAAGGUGGAGGGAGACAUGAACAGGCUAAGGAUCUUAUCUGGAACUACACUGCUUUUAAAGGGAAGAAGAAAACAAUCGAACAAUCUUUGGAUUGAGAAGAUUAGAACAAAAGGGGAUGACAUGGAACAGAAGCUCAAGAUAAAUGAGGAGUCUGCUUGGUUGCCCUUAGUGAGUUCAAGUGAACAGGAACGACCAGCAGGAUGAAUACAGAGAGGACUGGCGAGACUUACAUGAACUGAUGCUGAGUGAAAUGAGCAGAACCAGGAGAUCAUUAUAUACCUCAACAAUGAUACUGUUUGAGGAUGUAUUCUGAUGGAAGUGGACCUCUUUGAUAAAGAGAGCCUUAAUUGAUCAAAGAUGGACAGAAGCAGCUACACCCAGAGAAAGAACACUGGAAAUGAAUAUAAACUGCUUGCAUUUAUGUUUUUCCUCCCGGGUUAUUUAUACCUUCUGAAUUCAAUUCUCCCUGUGCAACAAGAAAACUGUUUGGUUCUGCACACAUAUAUUGUAUCUAGGAUAUACUGCAACCCAUUCAACAUGUAAAGGACUCUUGCCAUCCCGGGGAAGGGGUGGAGGGAGGGAGGGGUAAAAUCGGAACAGAAGUGAAUGCAAGGGAUAAUGCUGUAAAAAAUUACCCUGGCAUGCGUUCUAUCAAUAAAAAAUUAUUAAAAAAAAAAGAAAUAGCAUCAGAAAAAUCAAAUAACUUAUUAAAUAUUGGGAGGUGGAUAGUAAAAAAUAAAGAAUGCUUCUGAGGUUGUAAUCCUGUGUGACUGAGAUUUAACAAAAAUAUUGAAGUUUGAAAGAGGGAUGAACUUGGGGAAGGAAAAGAUAAGGAGUUCCAUUUUGCACAUGUCAUUUUGAGAUGGUUAUGGCAGCCAUCUCUCACUGGAGAGAGGUAGUUGAUGAUGUAGCCCUGUAACUCAAGUAAGAACCUAAGGUGACAGAUAAAUAGAUGGAUAAAUAGACAGACAGAGAGACAGAUAGUUGGGUUAUAUAGAGAGAUGAAUAGAUAUAUAUAUGGAUGAUAUCUAUAGAUAGAUAUAGGAACAUAUAGAUAUAGAUGUAGGAGUCUUCUGCCUUGAUGUCAUAAUCCAUGGUAACUAAUGAGAUCAUCAAGAGGAUGUCAAGAGAGAAGAGGAGGGAUUCUACAACAAAGCCAUAAAUGACACCCAUGUGGUGGGGGGAACAGAGUUGGGGGAGGACAUUGAUGAUGCUCACAACAAAAGAAUUGAGGAAUAGUUAGAUGUACAGAGGGAAAUCAGGAGAGAGUAGUGUUACAGUGUUACAAAAAGCUAGAGAGGAGUGGGAAGAAUGCUGAGAGCUAAAGAAAAUGAAGAUUGACAAAAGACCAUCAGAUUUAGCAAUUAAAAGAAUUUGGUAAUUUUGCAGAGAGCAAUUUCAGUUAAGUGGAAGUGUGAGACUCUAGAAGGGAAUAAAUUGAGGAGUGAGUGGGAGGAAAGUAGAAGCAAUCAGUAUAGAGGACAAUGAUUUUUUUUGGUUGUUUUUAGGAGUUUGACCAUGAAAGGGAGAGAUAUAGUUUUAUAGCUUGAUGAGGAUGUAGCUUCAAGUAAAAGAUUUUUUAAAAUUAAAUUUAUGGGAAUGAUCUGAACAUGUAAGUGGAAUAGCAACAGGAAGUACAUAAAAUUAGGUAAAGAAAAGGCAAGAUGAGGGUGUGAUUGAAGAAGCAAACAAAGGAAAUGGCAUCAAUAGUGUUAGUAGAAGGGAUAGCCUUGGCCUUGGCAAUGAGAAGAGUCAAAUCUUCCAGACUGUAACAAAAUAAAAGAAAAUAUGUAUGAUGUCGAAGGCUUUUGAUGAGUGGAAAUUGAAGGGAAGUCUUGAGUGGAAUGCCUUGGUCCAGUGCUAUAUCAACAAGUCAACAGAUGUUUUCUACAUGCCAGACACUGAACUAAGCAUGGAACAUACAAAUACAAGCAAAAAAGAAAGACUGCCCCUGCUCUCAAGGAGCUUACAUUCUAAUAGGGAAGAUGAUACAUAGGUGGAUGGUAAAAAAGUAGAGGAGAGGGAAAAAAUAUCCAUGAAGGGGACAUGGUAGGAAGAGUUCAUAGAGAAAGAUUUUGGAAAGUAAAUGAAAGAGUGAACAUGAAUGAUCUGGGUACUUUCCUUAAAAUAGAAGUUCUGGAAAAACCCAACCAAUUAGAGGAAGACUCCAGGGAUGGUGUGAUCUUCCAGGGUGAAAGAGUUAUUAAAGUCAAAAGUAGAGUAUGGGGGAGGAAUUAAAGAGUGAACAUAGCUGGCUGAGACACUUUUCUAUAAAUGACUUGGAUGAAAACAAAAGUGAUAUGGUUGUCAACUUUGAAGAUUAUGCACUGUGGAGGAAAUGGCUAACAUACUGGAUGGCAGUCAGGUAUUUAAAAAAUACUGACAGGUUAGAAAGGUGAACCAAAUCCAAAAAGAUGAAAUUUAGU
Molecule: long non-coding RNA, 2577 nt
Organism: Antechinus flavipes (yellow-footed antechinus)
Lineage: Eukaryota; Metazoa; Chordata; Mammalia; Dasyuromorphia; Dasyuridae
Exons: 4
Source: RefSeq, a predicted model, not a curated record